ACCCUCCGUCGACUGACCCAUCUCUCUAGUUAUAAUUUUUCUCUCGUCCUUGCAUUGCCCAUUUGUUGCUAUCCAUUGGUAACGGACAACAGUAAAACGACAGACAACCAACAGCAAUAUUAUGUUCGACGGUGUAACACCCUGAAUUUGAGGGUAUAAAAUUUCUUCUCUAAAUGCCAACCAAAUUCAGGUGUUACCUCUUGUCUCUCUCUCUCUCUCUCUUUUCCUUUUGAUUAAAAGUAAGUGAAUUAGGCGAGGGUUUAAUUAUUUAUUUUGUCAAAGCUUAUGUGAGUCAUGAAAUGUUGCAUCAUGCUGAGCCUAAAUUAUUCUUUUGUUUGAUGCACAUGUUUGAAUUGGUUCGAAUUUGAAAUUUGGUUUGAGUUUGAUUUGAAAACCAUAAAGAAAUUAAAAUAGAAAAGACAUUAGAAAUUUCAAAAAAAGAAAAGGAAAGCAGCUCGAACCUCCUCCCUCCUUGGCCUUUCGGCCCAUCCAGCCCAAUUAACCUCCCGCAUCCGCUGACAAGCAGGCCCCACCUAUCGGCGCCACGCCCCGCUCGCCCUCUCUCUCUCUUCUUAGUGGGACCGCCCCAUCAGCACCGUGCCCUGCUCGCCCGCGCGUUCCCUCGCUGACUCGCGGCCCCUAUUGUCAGACCCAUCCCCUCCCCUGCAACUGUCGCGCCCGCGCCCAUGGCGUGCGCCCAUGCGGUCAAAGCGUGCCCACAUCCCCACGACCUGCCCAUGUCACCCGAGUGCUAGGUGAAGACCCCGAACACUCCCUCAGCUUGCCCCUGCCUCACAUUCGCUCUUUCCCUGCCCUCGCACUCACCCAGCCGCAACGCCGCCCCCCGCUGUUGCUUCACCUUUCUGUUGUCGCCGCUGGACUUCUGCCAGCGCUUUGGCCAUGGUGAGCUUUGCCUGAGCUUGGCGCACCGGGAACCCACGAUGGUUUCCCCUUUCCUCAAAUCCUCUACCCGAUUUGCGCUCCACCUCUCCCCUGCGCAGGUCGGAGCUCGCUGCCGUCGUGAUUCUUCAACGUCCGGUCAACUAGAGCCCCAUCGCGCCGUGCCAAGCUGCCCGAAGCAUCGUAUCUGGGUAAGUGACAUUCCUGUGUCCUUCUUUUGCGCCAAUUCUGCUAUACGUGGGGGAUUUCAGCCAUCGAAGUUGCCCCUCGCCGGGCCACAGCAUCUUCAUGGCGUUCGACCACUGCAACCCCUCCCUGAGCCCGAACUUAGGCCUAGAGCACCCCACCCUCUCCCUGGAGCCUAUGCCAACCGCAGAGCGCCGGUUUAACCCUCACCGCGACGGGUAUUGCUCGCCAGAGUAAGCUUGGGUUCGCCCGAGGGUCCCCCUCCACUGUCUGCCCGCCUUAGUCCUGUUCUCGGCACCCAGACCUUGCCAUAGUGCUUGCCGAGUCCUCCCCAACCUCUCUGGCUACCCAGACCAACCCCCAGUGUCCUAGAAGCCCCGGUCUGCCUCGCCUCCGGCGACUGCGCCGCCGUGUCCGCGGAAAGCGCCACCCCUAGCUGACUAGAGGAGACUAAACCCCUCGUGCCGAAUCCGAACAGCCCGGUCUUGAUCUGACGGCCCGAAGUCGUGGAUAACGGUUCGCGUGGUUUGUGGAACCAGAGCCAUCGAUCUACAAUCCAGUGGCCAACACGCCCCGUGUCCUCUUCAUACUGCUGACCCAUGGGCCCCGGGUGUCAGUGCCUCAACCCACCCGAGCCCACCUAUCAAGAGCCUGCGCCCUCGCUCGCUAUUCUAAUUUGGACCUUUGGUCGGAGAUCAGACGGCUAGCGCAACCCCGUACCCCUUCGCGUGGCAAUUUUGCUAAAGAGACCCUCGCUUUUUAGAAAUCAACCCGUUGUCCCUGGUUUUCACGCACAGGCCUCUGUAAUCUUACGGAUUGAACCCUAGACUUCUAUUUAUUCACAAAUUUAGGCCUAAUUUUGUAUUUUAAACAUCAAAACUUGUUUAUUUCAUAUCUUUUGCAUAUGAACUUCAAAUGGAGUGAUUCAAAUUGCAAAAUGUUCAUAGGAUUAUUCUCUGUCCAAAUAAAUUAUGAUCAUUCACUGUCUGUACGUGUUAAUUUUAUGCCUAGACUAUAGGUUAGUAUAUGUAAUAGUUUGUUUACUAAAUAAGAAAAUAAAAAGGAAACCCUAAUGGUAAUUAGAUGUUUAACCUUGUGAGAUUAAUAAUAUGUAAUGUAUGAAUUUAUCCCUGGUAUAAUUUUGUGUCUCACUAAAAUUAGUGGAAUUAAAAUUAUGCAAUCCAUGGAGAUAGAUAAUAUUUAGGGAAUCACAAACCACUAGUGUGCUAGUUCACUCUAGCACCUAAGUUGACCUUUUGUGUUUACAUUGCUCUGUCAAACUUGUGUUCACUUGGUUGUAUAUGUUUGGUGUAUUGUUCAUUUGUCUUUAUCCAAUUGCAUUGAAUGCAUGAUCGCUUUGUUUAGACAAUGAGCAGCUCAUGGUUCCUUAGUGUGUUGUUGAAGAUCUUCCUGAGCAACAACCUGGUGAAGGCAAGAGUCCUCUGACCUACUAUGUCCUACUUACUUUAUAGUUCACCGUCCCGCAUUACAUUAUUUAAACCUAAGGAUUAACUAGUCUGUAUUUACAUUAUCCUUGUUUACCUUUUUGGGUUUCUAAGCUUUAUGCUAUUGCUUUAACUUAAUCAAUGAACAUGAUGUGAAUCUUUAUGAUACAAUGAUGUUAUCUCGAUGAUGAUCUUGUGAUACUUUAGGGGACUCAGGCUAUUUCCUGAGUACCUCUCCGAAAGGACCUGUUCAUUGAGUGACCACCCGGGAUAACAGUACAACCAUGAGUGUGGAAUGGGACACCCUUAGCUGAUUAAUUAGAGGAACUUGAGGUGUAGUUGGCUUCGCCGUAGGGCCGUCUAUGGGGUCCAGGCACAACACUUUCUCUGCCGAGGCUGGUUGCCGAGGUUCUUUCGAUUUGGUUUUGUUAGUCACCCUUCUUAUGGGGAGAAUUACUAUGUUUAUCAAACUAGAGAAACCUAACGGGCGGCUAUGACCUCUUGGGAAUCUUUGUAAAGGCUACGUAGUGUAUCCCUAGCCAUUCACCUCGGUAGUGAAGAUCGAGUUUGUACAACAUAGGCUGGAAAGGGAUCACGACUCGUGGGUAAAGUGUGCAACCUCUGCAGAGUGUUAGAAACUGGUAUAUCAGCCAUGCUCACGGUUAAGAGCAGCCUUGGGAUCCUCUUUGAUUAGAAGAACUUUUGAUACUUUUAUGAUUAUGGUUAAUGAUGAUAAAUAUAACUCUGAUCAAUGAUAUUUCCUCUUGGAGGGAGUACUUUUGGGUAAUAACUGGGUUUAUUGCUAAAACAUGGCUUUACUACUAGGUAAUAAAUAUCUGACCAACUAAAAGCAAUUGCUUAACCUUAACUCCACAUACAGCUAGUCAACAUUAGCCAAACGGGACAUUUGCUGAGUACGUUGAUGUGUACGCACCCUUGCUUUAAAAACCACCCCACCCAAGGUUAUCGCCAAUAUAUUCAGUGCUCAGGAGGAGAUGCAGGCAACAUGGAGGACUUUGAGGAGUUCCAGGACUACGAUGAGUUCUAGUUAUGUUAGUGGUGAACCCCCAGUCAGCUGCCUGUGAAGGCUUUAUCAGAUACGCUCGCUUUUCCGCACUUUGAUAAUAGUAAUGACAAUGUUAUGUUAAUGACUCCGUGGAUGUCUUGGACAUCUUGAUGUAAUAAAGUACUAUUUCCACUAUUUACAUUGAGCAAUGUGUGAUGAUGUCCAAUUAUGUAAUCGUUUUUAAGUGAGUUUCUGAUCCUGGCACGUACAUGGUUCGCAUUCUGUUUACCUUCCAAAACCGGGUGACAGACGACCUCCUAGGUGGCCGUCGGAUAGAACGUUAUAUCCGACGGCCUAAGGCAGCCGUCGGACAUAAGAUCCUGCGUUCGACGGCUGUUAGACGGACGAUUAGACAUAAGGUUAUUUUCGAUGGCUAUCAGAUAAGCCAUCGGACAUAACCUUAUGUCCGACGGUCGCCUAGGAGGCCGUCAGACAUAAGGGAUUUAAACCCCGUCAGCGCCCGCCCACGUUGUUUCAGUUCCAUUCUUCAAGGAACACACAAGCUGAGGACGCCGCCACCCACCAGCCGCCGCCGCCGAGCACCUCCCCAGCCUACGGCAGCGCCCGCCCGCCCUGCCCCUGACGCUGCCCGAGCCCAUGGCCACCUUCGUCACCAUCCUCGAUGCCGCCGGAGCCGCUCCGACGCAGCCCGCGCCUGCCUCAGCCUCUGCCCCCGCCCCCGACGCCGUCGGCGCCUGCCUCGACCCCACCGGCGCUCGCUUCACUGGCUCUACGUCGAGCUAAGUGAGUAAUUUUGUAACUUUUAGUAUUAUUUUGUAUAUGCAUAUAGAUUGUUUGCUAUUAAUUAUGUUUAGUUUGUUAUGUCUGACAACCUAAGUUUAUUAUGUAAUUAAAUUAGCUUGUUUUAGUUUAUUUAGUGGUGCCUAUAUAAUUUAAACUUUUAAUUUCCGAGUGUAAUUAUUAUGCCCUCGAAAAUAAGAUCAUUUUAUAUGAUUUAGGGUCCCAUGAAAUGAUUUUUCAAUGUAAUAUUGUAUUAGUGUGGUUUAUUAGUAAUCAUAACUAAUUAAGUUAACGUCUCGUAUCUAGUAUGGAGGAGGAUCGUCGAUGGAUGUCUGAAGGUUGGAAGAAAAGAGGUGCUUUAUCAAGUGAGUGGGUUGCCAAGACUAACGCGUUUCUUGACCAUGCUUUUGCUCGAUUGGAGACUGGAAUCGAUGUUAGGUGCCCUUGUAGCAAGUGUCGGAACAUUUAUUUCCUUGACAGGGACUAUGUCGAUAGAUCUUUGUAAGAACGGUAAUAUGCCAGGCUAUGAGGUGUGGGUGCACCACGGUGAGGACCCACCUCCUCGUAUUGUAUCGUAAGUUCAGUCACAUGAAGAGAGGUCUACGAUAGGAUGGAAGAGAUGCUUGACGAUGUACGCCAUGAGCUUCUACCCGUGGAUUCGGAGAACCCCGGUCAACCCUCCGAUUAUGAGGAUCCUCCUACGCCUGAGGUUCAGAAGUUUUUCAAGCUCCUUAAAGCUGCCGAAGAGUCGUUGCACGAGCACACGAAAGUGACCAUCCUUGUGUUCGUGACUCGACUUAUGACUAUUAAGUCUAAGUUUGCAUUCUCAAACAACUGCUACAAGGAGCUUCUGAACUUGAUCAGUGAUGUACUUCCGGAGAAUCACAAGAUGCCAAAGGACAUGUAUGAGUCCAAGAAGUUGCUAUCUGGUCUCGGUAUGGACUACGAAAAAAUCGAUGUCUAUGACAACAACUAUAUGCUUUUCUGGAAGGAGACCAUGAGUGAGAAGAAGUGUAAAGUAUGUGGUGAGCGUAGAUUCGUAGAGGUUGAAAACGACAAUGGUUUGACCGUGAAAACCGAGAUAGCACGUAAGCAGGUUCGUUACAUGCCUCUUAUAACUCGGUUGAAACGUUUGUUCAUCUCCAAGAAUACAACCAGACACAUGAGGUGGCACAAAGAAGGGGUACGCUAGAAUCCAGAUGUCAUGGCACACCCAACUGAUAUAGAUGCAUCGAAGGUACUAGAUGCCUUUGAUUCUAGCUUUGCUAUUGAAGUGCCAAAUGUCCGCUUCAGUUUGGCAAUAGAUGGUUUCUCACCUUUCAAUCUAACUGCACCAUACUACUCAUGUUGGCUCGUAUUUGCUGUUCCAUACGACCUUCCACCAACUCUUUGCAUGAAAUAUGAAUUUAUUUUCUUAUGUCUUGUAAUACCUAGUCUGGAUCAUCCUAGAACAAAGAUUGAUGUGAUGAUGAGACCCCUGAUUGAAGAAUUGAAAAUUUUGUGGGAAGGAGUCGAGGCGUACGAUUGUUACAAGAAAUAGAAGUUCAACCUGAGAGCUGCGUUUUUGUGGUCUAUUCACGAUUUUAUGGCUUAUGGUAUCUUUGCUGGAUGGAGUUGUCAUGGGAUUCUGACAUUUCCGAUAUGCGCUGAAGACACUUUAUGCUUCUGACUGAAGUUUGGUGGAAAGAUAUGUUACUUCGAUUGCCAUAGAUGUUUUUUUGCCAGAGGAUCACCCAUUUAGGCUCGAUAGAAACGCUUUUAAACAAGUUGUUGCAUCUCAUAUCGUAUUUUACUGAUUCUUGUUUUGGGUACAUGUCAAUGCAUCUAUUUGCUUGAUGGAAAAACAUUUCAUGUAGGUGUCUGUGCCUUGGAUGGCCACCCAAUCAUAGGGUUAUCGGGCCUUGUGCAGGUGGUGGGAUUCCCCUGAGUUUCAUGCCAUUUUCGAAAGGAACAUGGGAAACCAUGGUACUGAGUCGUUCCACAACUACGACGGUGAGGACAUGUACACUUGGCUAAGCGAAUGGUAUGUCAUAGUAUGUUGUAACUUCGAAUUACAUAGAAAUGUGUCAUUCUAACUUGUAUGUACAGGAAGACAAAUCUGCCUGUACGCCUACGAAUCUGGAGGUGUAUAUGUAAGGGCAUAAGGGUUCUGAUCCACAGAAUCCUGAUGUUUUAUGCACUCAGACAACCACCGACCGUCUAGUGAGUUUUUGGUACUCUAUUAUGUGUUUGUGCAUCAACUUGGUAAUGCACUUAUAUUUGGUAUGUUUGCCUCCAGGCUUUGUAUGGGCAGGAGAUGGUUCAGCGCCAUGGGCAGGACUACGAUUGGAGGAACCAACCAAUCGACCCUUAGGUAGUAUAUGCUAGUGCAGGAGGAUAAGCCCAUGGACGAUGAGAGUAUUUUAUUUGGAUUUCAAAAUUGUUCUCAUAUGCUUGUGAUUGAACCGAGUCCAUGGUUUACUCUACUAAGUGCAUGGUUCACUCUUGUAGGUUGGGUAUUUUUGAUUCCACGAUUGAUUCUAGGGAGCUGAGACACCGUGGACGACAGUCCACAUCCUCAUCUUCGCAGUUGUCCCGUUCUCGAUCAUCCGCCCAAGAGAUAGAGAUUGCAGUGUUGCGUCAGCAUGCAGAGUAUCAUAAAUCAGUUUUGAGGGAAACAAAUGGAGUAUUAGAGGCAACAAGCUGAGUACUAGAAGAAGAAGGACGAGUAUUAUUCAAACCUCCAGGCCCAUAAUCAAGCUCUACUCUCGGUAAGUUGAAGUAACAUUUUGUUCAUAACAACUAAAAACACAUGAUGUGUACCUUAUUUUCUCAACAAUGGCUUGCAUCUAAUUUGUAGCAACUAGCACAACAAGCGGGCGUCUCGAUGCCGACAUAUGGGAUGCCGCCUCUGGACUUUGCACUGUCGAUGCCAAUGUUGUUGCCUCCACCCUGCCUUAAUUCCAUAUGGUAUGUACACAUAUACGUGUGUGACAUGUUCAUAGUUGUCUUAUGUGUUAAAAUGAUAAACUUAGUGGUUAAUAUUUCAUGUGGGUGUGUUAUAGGGAUUUCAGACACCUUCCGCUUCAGUUGCCGCACCUAGAGAUGCGUCUGGUCAAGACGACACAUCGAAUUCUGAGGUGAACAACCUUUUCAACACCUAGAGUCCAGCCGGAGGAAGUGGCUAUAACUUGAACCAACCAGGUGACGGAUAUGAGUGAUAGUUCAUCAAAUGUGUUUGAUUUGGAACUAUGUCAAUGUUCAUGUCAAGGACUAUGUGUCGAACUAUGUUAGUGUUUAAUUUGGAACUAUAUGUUGAUGUAAAAGACUUGUUGCAACUAUUUGGAACUAUAUGUUUGUGAAUGUGAGGUGAUGUUUGUGAAUGUGAAUACUUAUGUGAAUUGAUGUUUGUGAAUGUAUGUGAAUAUGUGGUGUAACACCCCUGGUGUUACUGUUACUAAAAUUUGAGCAUAACAUCAUCAGCAUUAGCAUUUCAUGUGUUUGAUACACCUAGAAUGCAUUCACUAGGCUGAAGUUUCAAACAAGUUGUAUUGAUAUGGCAUUUUGCAAAUAAAACCCUGGAGUAGGGUACUUAACCCUAAAUGGGGUUUAGAAGGGUAAAACAAAAUCCAAAAAGAGAAAACCCUAAAGCUUAAGUGAAAUAGUCAUAAAAUGUUACUAAGAAGGGACCUAAAUUAUAUUCACACCCCUGAAAUACCAAAAACCCUAAAAAGGACCCUAGAAAACCCUAAACCUAAACCCUAGGGGGCUAAGUGCAAAAUCAGUGCAUGUUUGGACUAAAGUACAAAAACUAUGAAAGUAAGGUAUCUUAAGUCAUAUGGUUCAUAAUCAUGAAGAUUUGCAAGCUAAACCCUGAAUUUUGCACCUAUUUGCAAAAAGAACCUAUUUGAGUUCUAAACCUAAGUCUGAAAUUCAAUGACAUUGGCUCAACUUUGGAGCUCUAUAUCUUCCAAAUUAUUGAGAAUUUGCCCUAGGUCACCACAUCAAUUUUGUAGAUCUAUCAAAGGUGAACAACUUUGUUUAAGGGAUUAAACAUUGUUGUUAUGAAGAAUUUGGAGAUAAUUAAACCCAAAGUCAGGCUGUCAGGCUGUUUGAUGUCUGAAUUUCAGACUAACAGUACAACUGCAAGAACUUUGGGCACGAAUUCUGGCAUGAUCGAGCAAGAAUUUGCCUAGGGUUGCUAUACCAAGAUUAUAGUUGGAUCCUAGAGCUAUAACUUUGCUAAAGAGUGUCGAUCAUGUUAUUACAUAAAAUUAAGAGAAAAUUCGCCCUAAACUUUGGCUGUCAGGUGCACUAAAUGAGGAAUGGCCAUGGUACAAUACUGAAGAAGAUCGACUGCCAGCCGUUCAUCGUCGAUGACCUCUCCGCCGCGAUUCGUGCCACCGCUGUCUCGAUUCGUGAUCGGGGAGGAAUGGAUAACACCGGGGAUGGGUAAAAAGAUCUGGGCGGGAUGGAUUGCGAUUGCUAGCUGGUCCGGCCAUCCUGUACACUUGCCGCGCGGCCGUCCGAGUUUAUCCUCACCGGAGCUCGCCGUUUCACUCAACCGUGCCACGCCGCAAAGCAUUCUCCACGUCGUAGGGAUCAUGGAGGAUAGUCAGUUACCCCUCCUGCACCGUUUUCUCCUCGCUCGCCACGAUACGCAGAGCACGGUGAAAUAUCCAAGUCGCCGUGAGCUGAUCUCCAACCCAAAUUCCCUGGCCGCCGCUCACGAUCACUAUAAAUUGAGUGCACCCGCGGCUCCAUAGGGUAAUCACGCAUCUAUUGCACCAAUCCUUGCCCCGGAUUAUCCACCAGGGACCAAGAAUUGCUCACUUCCCCCAAUCACGGUUUCCGCCACCGUAAAACGCACCUCGCCGUGGCCAGCCACUUCCAGGUUUGUUCAUGCUAUCUGCUGCCUUGUUUCAGCAUUAGUGUGCUUCCCUGAUGCUCCUCAACCAACCCAAUUACACUGAGUCCCCCUUAAUUACCGGGAACGCGAUACCCAUUCGAGUGUCCGUGCUGUUUCCAUGGACCGAUCGAUUCAAUGUCCCAUUGAUGAAAUUGUUUGAGGGGAAACCCUCGUUAGGUCUUGGAUUUGAUCUCUGCCAAAGUAGAACGCUAGUCAUCACGUGAAUCAUCCGAUACAUGCUCGCCGGAGUUCGUCCCUACGCGGUUCGCCAUCUUGUAGAUGUCAGUGAGACAUGUGAAUAGCGCCAAGGACCGCCACUCUAAUUUUGAACCGGUAAGGGCGUUUUUGCAAAGUUGUCGCGGGCACGCGUGCGCGCGGGCGAAUUUGCUCGCUGCUGGGCCGCUUCGGCUGAAAUGAGCCCAACACUGUUUAAGCUUUUCUCUUUUCUUUUUCGUGAAACUUUAGAAAUCUAUAGAAAAUUGUAGAAAAAUGGUAAAAAUGUCAAACCAAUUUUGCUAAAUUCCUAAUUUUCAUAGAAUUUAAUAAAAAUAGUUUCAUGAUUUUUAGGUCAAAUAGAGAAUUUUGGAGCAUUUAAAAUAGCCUAAAACAUUGUUUCUGGAUUUUUAGAAAAUAGAUAAUAACUCCAAAAAAUCCCCAAACUUUUGAGAUGAUCUUUAUACAUUAUUUAGAAGCCUUGGGUAGAGUUUGGUAUGAUUUGGACCUUGUUUGAUACUUAGGACCCAAAACCCUACCCCUGCCCUUUGAAUUCCUUUAUUAACUCCGGAAACCCUAGGUUCUCGGAGAACCGUGAAGGAAAAUUGUAUUCAAGACUUUAGAAAAUAAACUUUUACUAUCUUUGCACUCUCAUGAGCAUUACAUGGGCAUUCAUUAUUAUGUAUGGUUAUAUUUAGAAAACGAGGAAGAAGUUGAAGUAGAAGAAGAAAAGACUUCACCACCACCACCCGAGGAACAUCAGGCAGGCAACUGCUUUUAUUUUGAUAUCUGCGGAUCCGAGCCUGAUUCACCUAUAAACCAAGGCAAGCCCCGGUGCAUUUGCCACCUCCUUGAUUCUUUUAAAAUCUUUCUCACUUGCUUGAUGCAUUAGGUGAUAGGAGUUGAAUGCUAAAACAAUUCCUGCAUUACCUUCCUUGAAUUUGAUUACCUUCCUUUGAAUCCCUGUUUUACAAACGGUUUUUACUAUGCUUAGUCUUGCUCUAGCAAAACAAAAUGUUUUGUUUUUACAAAAGAUGAUGUGGCAAAGUGGGAGGGAUGUUUUCGAAAAUAAAACUUGAUGGUGAGUCCAUCAUGGCCAUGAUGGGUUCAGUAUCGGAAAAGAUGUACCUCUGUCAGGUACCAAACUUUGGGAUUUGAAAUGAUUAAGCUAAGAUCGGGCGGGUGACUUGCAUGAGAAGAUAGUCUCGGUGUAGUGUCUCCGUCUGAGUCGAUUAAGGACCAUGUCGAUGUAGGCCUGCUGACCGAGGACCCUUUAACUGGUCACAUGCCUCGUCAUGGGUAAGCUUUGCCUCGGGCAGACUAAUACCAGAAUAAGAUACCACGCAAUGGGAGUGGAGAGAUGGCGAGAGUAGCGUGUACCCUCCGUGGCAAGAGGCUGGACGGUGGUGUAUCUGUGCUCUCGGUUGGCGUGAACCUGAUCUGGUCUUAAGAACCCGGUGGCGGGUUGACAUAUGCAAGGGUUAAGUGCUACAUAUGUCGUGUGAUCAGAGAUCCUCAGCUGAGUAUAAUCGAUUCGGAUCUCCGUACCUUCACGGUUAUGAAAACUUGGUCACUGACCUAUACGUAGAACUCCAGUAAAGAUGAAGGGUUGUUAAGAAAUUGGCUAGUGUAGGUCAAGUGAUUGAACUAGGGUUGAAAGAACUCUAGUUACAGGUAAUUAAACUUAACUUGACAAAUAAAACUGGAUUUUUAAGGAUCCACUGUUAGUAAGCAUUUCUGCAAACAGAAUCGUUGAUUAUUGAGAAACCUUACCUUGACUCCCUUAUAACCAGCAUACCCUUAAGAGUCUUUUUUAGUCGGGUAAGUCUCGCUCAGUAAUUCCAUACUCAGGGUUUUAUUCCCUAUUAUUUUUAGGUGAGGAAGCAACAAACUUUUGUUGUUUCUGUUCCAAGGUGAUCUCAAAAGAAGAAGACCAAGAGUAAAGCUGCGGGAGGAAAGGAUCCUCCAUAAAAACUUUUGUGUAAAACUUAUCGGGAGGGGUUUUUGCCUCCCUUGGCUUGUAAUAAUAAUACUCUGCACUCGUAUGUUAUAUUUUGGUCUGUAAAUAUUAAUCUUUGCCUUACUUUUAAAUAAAGGUAAGUUAAUGUAAUGGCUUUCGCACUUUCGUAACUCUGAUGCUUGUAAUGUCUGCGUGACGGGUAAAACGCUCUUGGGAAAGGUAAGAAAAGUAGAUACCGAACUUGUCAAGUGAUUCAGGGGCACCUGUAGGGUUGUCUGAGGUCCGUUGGACAAGGACAACUGUAGGUGGGCCUAAUGACUUGGGAGGUUCCGUCACAUGUGGUUGUAUAUGAAAUCUGUGGUUUUCUAUGUAAAUGUCAGAAAUGUACAAAAAUAUAAUUUUUUUGCAACUGCUGAAAUUCAUUGUCUGAUGGCUUAACACAAGACGUCGGACAUAAUACUUCAUUAUGUCCGAAGGCUAACAUAGGCCGUCGGCUAAUAUAGGCCACCAGACAUAAGCGAUGGACGACCGUUAACUGCCGUUACCGAGGAUAAACGUCGAUGGCCGAAAGGUGCCGUCAGACAUAGCUUAUGUCCAAUGGCCACCGUCGGAAAUAAGAGUAUUUUUGACCCUUUAUGACAGAGGGAUGGGUACCGUCGAACAUAAGCCUACGACCGUCCGUCGAAAAUAACUUAUGUCUGAUGGCUUUAACUGUCGAAAAUACCCUGUUUUACUAAAGUGACGAAUAAGCACCACCCACGUAUAUGUAUUUCCUUUAAUCUGGGUUGCUGCUGCUCGUUCUAGUAGCAUAUUAUUGACCAAACUUCUACCACGUCCUACGUACAAUCCUGCAUGUAUUAGAGUACGUCUGGUUUCACAUCAGACACUUAUUCACGUUGUGUUUGUUUUUUCAAAGAAGAAUGUAAAAGUUCAUGUACCUGAGCUCCAGGACAUGCCAUUUUUGUUUUCUUUUGUUUUUUUGCAAGCACCACGUAGCAGUUUAAAAGCUAAAUUCCACCGAAUCUAUCUCUAUAUAUGCAUACACUCAAACGUCUCCAAAACCCUCCUUAAAAAUCAUUUGGGAAGUCAAUGCAUGAUUAUGCCAAGUGAUCGAUGAACAAAAUAAAUAGAGGGCUUUAUUUUUAUCUUCCUCGCCAGUAGUUUUUAGUAAUUAGAAAAUCUUCAGGACUCUGAUGUAUAAUUUACUUGCUAAACCAGAGACAAGUUAACAAAAUAAGCACCAACCUUAAUUUACCCCCUCCAAUAGUUUACCAUAUGAACUUUCUAAAAAAACGAAUUGUUUGGCGCAGCAAUUCCAGGUCAGUGCGGCCAUCCACCAUGUCCGUCGACAGAUAGGUUGUCAUUCUCGGUUCACCCCAUCCACCAUGUGUGUUAGUACCGGACCUUGUACAUUAUUCCCCAUGAUCUUCAUGGGACAGCGACGGUAGAAGUGCUACACAAAAACAUUUGUCAGCUUAUUCCUUUGGCUUUAAUCUGUACCGGUUUCUACUGUUUCUACAAUAUUUUUGUCUCUAUAGAUUGCAGCUGCAGCAGCCUGAACAGCUGGCUUCAACGGAUACCAGACAAUCGAAACUAAAUGUCUUAGCUUAUAGUCUCGGUUGCAUGCACCGAUAUUAAUUAAUUGAUAUCUUUAAUACCAAUUGUUGAAUAUAUGUUCAAGAGACAAUCAUGACAUAUGAUAACACUAAUGAGUCUUUAUGGUAAAAACACAUUAGUAAGGGUCUAUAUGUACCAAAGGUCUGGCAUGCUUGAGAGAAUCAUAUUAGCUACCGCUGUCUCUUCCUAUGGUUGCAGACGCUCGAUACGUCGACACCGCUUCUCUCGAUAUGCAUGGUGUUAGCGCACCGACAUUACGAUAUUUCAUCUUCACACGUAUGGAUAUACCAUGGUGACACUGUUGUUACUGUGGUGUUGAUCAAUAAUGAACUUGAGGAGGAUGGUCAAAUGUGUUGUUGUUGGUACGUAAGGACAUUCGAUGACUUCCACUACAUCAAUGUGUCCUUCCACUGUGUUGCGCGUCUAGUAGUAGAAAUGCAUGAUUCUGUAGUUACAUGCAAUCUUGGUUAAACAUGGUAGAUAUGCUAGUGUGUAUCGUGCAUGAUUUCCAUCAGUGGUACCAGAGCUAGGUCAUGCACAAUUUUUGAUCUAGAUUAUUUGCAUAUAGGUGAUACUCCUAGUAUAUUGCAUCUAUUUUUCUUUGGUUAUAGCACCACUUAGGACAAAUGAGGUAAUUGCCGGUAUAGUUGCAUAUCUCUACCGACUAGAAUCACCGUAGGGAUAACAAUACAUGUAUCUUUUAGAUUGAGAAAGUCAAGAAAUCUGAAUUGGAUAUACUGUUAUGGCUCUAUGUCACACAAUUGUCAAUAUGAUUGACAGUAAAAAUAGAGACAUUUAGCUUGUCUUGAAAUCAACUUGAUUUGAUUAAUCUGGUGAUAUUUAUAUAGAGCUUUCAGUGAUGUGACCAGGAAUUUCUGAGUGUACGACAUAGAUUAUUUGGACAAACCAUUUUCAUACCGCAUGGUAGUAUCCGACUCUCCACCUAGCAUGGUUUUAUAGAGAAUAUUAUGAAUAAUAUGAACCAAAUAUAGAAACCACAUAUAGGACUUGAUGAUGUAGAUCACCAUGAUAAAUGGAUGACUUCUAUCCUACAUUUAAUAUAAUUAUAUGCGAUGGUUUAUUUUCCUACCUUACUAUCCACCCAUGUACUAAAUAUGAUAGGAUAGUUUCCCUAAAAAAUUAAGAGUUUAUUUUGAUACCCUUCCAAUUACUAUGUUUAUAUAGAUUCUAAUCAUCACUUGGUGGGCCUACCAAAGCAAAGUCUCAUUGAUUAUUUUAAUCUAAUAGGGUAAGUCCUAGACAUUUGCUAAAGAUGAAGGGCAAAGGUGAGGGCAAGGCUAAAGAUGAGAUCUCAAAGCUAAAUGCAAAGUCUAAGUCUGGCCUUUCUUCUAAAGACAAAAAUUUCAUUGUGGUGACCUUGAGAAACGGUCUAGGAACUACAAGAAGUACUUAGAAGACUAAGGAAAUUGAGACUUCUAUUUUGUUUAUAUAUGUUAUUGAAAUUAAUCUGGCUAUUUCUUUUAGUGAAUCAUGGGUAUUUGAUAUCAGAUCGAUGAUUCAUACUUGCAAAUCAUUGCAAGGACUAAAAAGGACUAGAAUAUUUGCUACAAAUGAGUUGAAUAUGUGUGUAGGCAAUAGAGCAAAGGUUGUUGCACUAGCCAUCGACACUUAUCAAGUGCCACUUGUACACAUUUUAGAAAGAUCUUAACAAAUAUCUAAUCCAGAGAAUUCCUAAUUUUCAAUAGCAACAGAUAUCUAAGUUUUAUAGCUUGCCAUGGUUAUUAUUGUAGAAGAUUUUGAAACCUUGCCUUAUGCCCUCAUUUCAUGGCUUCAUGAUUGUUAUAGAUAUUUCUAAAUUUUUUGUUUUGUUUCUGUUGGUACCUCAAGAUUGGGGCACCCACUACUGCUGGAUCAAGCUAGACCCUCCAGGACCAUUGGAGCUUUGUCUUUUAGUUGCACUGGACAGUCCGGUUCCGCACCGGACAUGUACUGUUCACUGUUCGGUGCGCCUCUGGCGGCUGCUCCGACUUCUGCGCGCACUGUCCGCGUACUAUAGCGUUUACAGGUGUUCGUUGCAGUCGACCGUUGCACUGUUAGCCGUUGCUCCGCUGGUGCACCGGAUAGUCCGGUGGCACACCGGACAGUCCAGUGAAUUAUAGCGGAGCUACACCUGAGAAACCCGAAGGUGGCGAGUUUGGAGUUGUACGGUCCUGGUGCACCGGACACUGUCCGGUGGCAUACCGGACAGUCCGGUGCGCCAGACCAGGGUACCCUUCAGUUCCUUUGCUCCUUUGCUUUUGAACCCUAACUUUGAUAUUUUAUUGGUUUGUGUUGAACCUUUAUGCACCUGUGGAAUUCUCCUCUCAAGGACGUCACCUUCAAGAACAUCACCGGCACCUCCUCCACCCCGGAGGCCGUUAGCCUGCUCUGCACUGCCAAGAUCCCAUGCACCGGCGUCACCAUGGAUGACGUCAACGUCGAGUAUAGCGGCACCAACAACAAGACCAUGGCUAUAUGCACGAACGCCAAGGGCAGCACCAAGGGUUGCCUCAAGGAGCUUGCAUGCUUCUAGACCCUCCGUCGACUGACCCAUCUCUCUAGUUAUAAUUUUUCUCUCGUCCUUGCAUUGCCCAUUAGUUGCUAUCCAUUGGUAACGCACAACAGUAAAACGACAGACAUCCGACAGCUAUAUUAUGUUCGACGGUGUAACACCCUGAAUUUGAGGGUAUAAAAUUUCUUCUCUAAAUGCCAACCAAAUUCAGGUGUUACCUCUUGUCUCUCUCUCUUUUCCUUUUGAUUAAAAGUAAGUGAAUUAGGCGAGGGUUUAAUUAUUUAUUUUGUCAAAACUUAUGUGAGUCAUGAAAUGUUGCAUCAUGCUGAGCCUAAAUUAUUCUUUUGUUUGAUGCACAUGUUUGAAUUGGUUUGAAUUUGAAAUUUGGUUUGAGUUUGAUUUGAAAACCAUAAAGAAAUUAAAAU
Molecule: long non-coding RNA, 15953 nt
Filed under: Zea mays
Lineage: Eukaryota; Viridiplantae; Streptophyta; Magnoliopsida; Poales; Poaceae
Description: long non-coding RNA (ZMAY_LNC005792)
Source: RNAcentral